This 496-nucleotide ribosomal RNA is filed under the name uncultured bacterium. RNAcentral's name for it is "partial 16S ribosomal RNA". It matches the Rfam family "Bacterial small subunit ribosomal RNA", at positions 28 to 506 of the family's 1533-position model. The record is from RNAcentral.
GAUGAACGCUGGCGGCGUGCCUAAUACAUGCAAGUCGAGCGAACAGAUGAGGAGCUUGCUCCUCUGACGUUAGCGGCGGACGGGUGAGUAACACGUGGAUAACCUACCUAUAAGACUGGGAUAACUUCGGGAAACCGGAGCUAAUACCGGAUAAUAUAUUGAACCGCAUGGUUCAAUAGUGAAAGACGGUUUUGCUGUCACUUAUAGAUGGAUCCGCGCCGCAUUAGCUAGUUGGUAAGGUAACGGCUUACCAAGGCAACGAUGCGUAGCCGACCUGAGAGGGGGUUCGGCCAAACGGAACCUAGGACACGGCCCAGACUCUUACGGGAGGCAGAAGUAGGGAAUUUUCUGCAAUGGGCGAAAGCUGGACGGGGCAACGCGGCGUGAGGAAGAAAGGCUUUCGGAUCGUAAAACCUUGUAAUUGGGAAAAAACAAAGGUGUAAGUAACGUUGCACGUCUGGACGGAACCAAAGCAGAAACCCCCGGCUAAUUACGU